RNAcentral lists this ribosomal RNA (328 nucleotides) under uncultured eukaryote. Its description in RNAcentral is "partial 18S ribosomal RNA". It matches the Rfam family "Eukaryotic small subunit ribosomal RNA", at positions 1470 to 1796 of the family's 1831-position model. The record is from RNAcentral.
CCCUUAGAUGUCCGGGGCUGCACGCGCGCUACACUGAAGGAAUCAGCGUGCUAAAACCAUUGUCGAAAGGCAUUGGUAAACCCAUUAAAAUCCUACGUGAUUGGGAUCGGGAAUUGCAAUUAUUUCCCUUGAACGAGGAAUUCCCAGUAAGUGUGGGUCAUAAGCUCGCGUUGAUUACGUCCCUGCCCUUUGUACACACCGCCCGUCGCUGCCCGGGACUGAGCCGUUUCGAGAAAAGCGGGGACUGCUGCUGUCUGGGCUUUCGGGCCUUGGCUUCGGUGGAAACCGCUUUAAUCGCAGUGGCUUGAACCGGGCAAAAGUCGUAACA